Molecule: ribosomal RNA, 251 nt
Filed under: uncultured bacterium
Lineage: Bacteria
Description: partial 16S ribosomal RNA
Rfam family: Bacterial small subunit ribosomal RNA
Source: RNAcentral
CGGGUGAGUAACGCGUGGGUAACCUGCCUCAUACAGGGGGAUAACAGUUAGAAAUGACUGCUAAUACCGCAUAAGCGCACGGUCUCGCAUGGGACAGUGUGAAAAACUCCGGUGGUAUGAGAUGGACCCGCGUCUGAUUAGCUGGUUGGUGAGGUAAGGGCUCACCAAGGCGACGAUCAGUAGCCGGCCUGAGAGGGUGAACGGCCACAUUGGGACUGAGACACGGCCCAAACUCCUACGGGAGGCAGCAG